RNAcentral lists this ribosomal RNA (588 nucleotides) under uncultured bacterium. Its description in RNAcentral is "partial 16S ribosomal RNA". It matches the Rfam family "Bacterial small subunit ribosomal RNA", at positions 355 to 1375 of the family's 1533-position model. The record is from RNAcentral.
UGGGGAAUAUUGGACAAUGGGCGCAAGCCUGAUCCAGCAAUGCCGCGUGUGUGAAGAAGGCCUUCGGGUUGUAAAGCACUUUUAUCAGGAGCGAAACGCUGUCGGCUAAUACCCGGCGGAACUGACGGUACCUGAGGAAUAAGCACCGGCUAACUUCGUGCCAGCAGCCGCGGUAAUACGAAGGGUGCAAGCGUUAAUCGGAAUUACUGGGCGUAAAGCGUGCGUAGGCGGUUUCUUAAGUCUGCUGUGAAAUCCCCGGGCUCAACCUGGGAAUGGCAGUGGAUACUGGGAGGCUAGAGUGUGUCAGAGGGUGGUGGAAUUCCCGGUGUAGCGGUGAAAUGCGUAGAGAUCGGGAGGAACAUCAGUGGCGAAGGCGGCCACCUGGGACAACACUGACGCUGAGGCACGAAAGCGUGGGGAGCAAACAGGAUUAGAUACCCUGGUAGUCCACGCCCUAAAGCGAUGCGAACUGGAUGUUGGUCUCAACUCGGAGAUCAGUGUCGAAGCUAACGCGUUAAGUUCGCCGCCUGGGGAGUACGGUCGCAAGACUGAAACUCAAAGGAAUUGACGGGGUCAUAGCUGUUUCCU